RNAcentral lists this ribosomal RNA (500 nucleotides) under uncultured bacterium. Its description in RNAcentral is "partial 16S ribosomal RNA". It matches the Rfam family "Bacterial small subunit ribosomal RNA", at positions 30 to 523 of the family's 1533-position model. The record is from RNAcentral.
AUUGAACGCUGGCGGCAUGCCUUACACAUGCAAGUCGAACGGCAGCACGGGAGCAAUCCUGGUGGUGAGUGGCGAACGGGUGAGUAAAGUAUCGGAACGUGCCCAGUCGUGGGGGAUAACGUAGCGAAAGUUACGCUAAUACCGCAUACGAUCUAUGGAUGAAAGCGGGGGAUCGCAAGACCUCGCGCGAUUGGAGCGGCCGAUAUCAGAUUAGGUAGUUGGUGGGGUAAAGGCUCACCAAGCCGACGACCUGUAGCUGGUCUGAGAGGACGACCAGCCACACUGGGACUGAGACACGGCCCAGACUCCUACGGGAGGCAGCAGUGGGGAAUUUUGGACAAUGGGCGCAAGCCUGAUCCAGCCAUGCCGCGUGCAGGAUGAAGGCCUUCGGGUUGUAAACUGCUUUUGUACGGAACGAAAAGGUUUGACUUAAUGCGUUGGACUCAUGACGGUACCGUAAGAAUAAGCACCGGCUAACUACGUGCCAGCAGCCGCGGUAA